Molecule: ribosomal RNA, 836 nt
Filed under: uncultured bacterium
Lineage: Bacteria
Description: bacterial SSU rRNA
Rfam family: Bacterial small subunit ribosomal RNA
Source: RNAcentral
CGAGCGAGCUUGCCUAGAUGAUUUUAGUGCUUGCACUAAAUGAAACUAGAUACAAGCGAGCGGCGGACGGGUGAGUAACACGUGGGUAACCUGCCCAAGAGACUGGGAUAACACCUGGAAACAGAUGCUAAUACCGGAUAACAACACUAGACGCAUGUCUAGAGUUUGAAAGAUGGUUCUGCUAUCACUCUUGGAUGGACCUGCGGUGCAUUAGCUAGUUGGUAAGGUAACGGCUUACCAAGGCAAUGAUGCAUAGCCGAGUUGAGAGACUGAUCGGCCACAUUGGGACUGAGACACGGCCCAAACUCCUACGGGAGGCAGCAGUAGGGAAUCUUCCACAAUGGACGAAAGUCUGAUGGAGCAACGCCGCGUGAGUGAAGAAGGGUUUCGGCUCGUAAAGCUCUGUUGGUAGUGAAGAAAGAUAGAGGUAGUAACUGGCCUUUAUUUGACGGUAAUUACUUAGAAAGUCACGGCUAACUACGUGCCAGCAGCCGCGGUAAUACGUAGGUGGCAAGCGUUGUCCGGAUUUAUUGGGCGUAAAGCGAGUGCAGGCGGUUCAAUAAGUCUGAUGUGAAAGCCUUCGGCUCAACCGGAGAAUUGCAUCAGAAACUGUUGAACUUGAGUGCAGAAGAGGAGAGUGGAACUCCAUGUGUAGCGGUGGAAUGCGUAGAUAUAUGGAAGAACACCAGUGGCGAAGGCGGCUCUCUGGUCUGCAACUGACGCUGAGGCUCGAAAGCAUGGGUAGCGAACAGGAUUAGAUACCCUGGUAGUCCAUGCCGUAAACGAUGAGUGCUAAGUGUUGGGAGGUUUCCGCCUCUCAGUGCUGCAGCUAACGC